This 380-nucleotide ribosomal RNA is filed under the name uncultured cyanobacterium. RNAcentral's name for it is "bacterial SSU rRNA". It matches the Rfam family "Bacterial small subunit ribosomal RNA", at positions 376 to 770 of the family's 1533-position model. The record is from RNAcentral. Lineage: Bacteria; Bacillati; Cyanobacteriota.
CGAAAGCCUGACGGAGCAAGACCGCGUGGGGGAGGAAUGCCUUAGGGUUGUAAACCCCUUUUAUCUGGGAAGAACAAAAUGACGGUACCAGAUGAAUAAGCCUCGGCUAACUCCGUGCCAGCAGCCGCGGUAAUACGGAGGAUGCAAGCGUUAUCCGGAUUUAUUGGGCGUAAAGCGUCCGCAGGCGGCUAAUCAAGUCUGCUGUUAAAGGCCGAGGCUUAACUUCGGUUGAGCAGUGGAAACUGAUUAGCUAGAGUGCGAUAGGGGUAGAGGGAAUUCCCAGUGUAGCGGUGAAAUGCGUAGAUAUUGGGAAGAACACCAGUGGCGAAGGCGCUCUACUGGGUCGCAACUGACGCUGAGGGACGAAAGCUAGGGGAGCG